This 414-nucleotide ribosomal RNA is filed under the name uncultured bacterium. RNAcentral describes it as "bacterial SSU rRNA". It matches the Rfam family "Bacterial small subunit ribosomal RNA", at positions 355 to 787 of the family's 1533-position model. The record is from RNAcentral.
UGGGGGAUAUUGCACAAUGGGGGAAACCCUGAUGCAGCGAUGCCGCGUGAAUGAAGACGGCCUUCGGGUUGUAAAGUUCUGUCGCAGGGGACGAAACUGACGGUACCCUGCAAGAAAGCUCCGGCUAACUACGUGCCAGCAGCCGCGGUAAUACGUAGGGAGCAAGCGUUGUCCGGAAUUACUGGGUGUAAAGGGAGCGUAGGCGGGAGGAUAAGUUGAAUGUGAAAUCUACAGGCUUAACCUGUAUGUGCGUUCAAAACUGUUCUUCUUGAGUGAAGUAGAGGCAGGCGGAAUUCCUAGUGUAGCGGUGAAAUGCGUAGAUAUUAGGAGGAACACCAGUGGCGAAGGCGGCUUACUGGACUGUAACUGACACUGAGGCUCGAAAGCGUGGGGAGCAAACAGGAUUAGAUACCC